RNAcentral lists this unclassified non-coding RNA (389 nucleotides) under fungal sp. RNAcentral's name for it is "partial internal transcribed spacer region". The stretch from base 1 to 46 matches the Rfam family "Eukaryotic small subunit ribosomal RNA", at positions 1786 to 1831 of the family's 1831-position model. The record is from RNAcentral. Lineage: Eukaryota; Fungi.
AAGUCGUAACAAGGUCUCCGUAGGUGAACCUGCGGAGGGAUCAUUAACACGAUGAGAGACGCGUCAAACCGUCUCCCAUUCUCCACCCAACGUGAACUCGGUUGCUUACACUUCGGUGUAUUCAAUCAUUCCUCCCUUUGUUUGUUGUAGAGCUGUUGAAAUCCGAUGUGUAGUGGGCCAAUUGCUGGCCAUCUGUUUCAACUAGUAGAGCUUGACUCUACGGCUCUCAACAACUUAGGCAAUACAUUCAUUUCAGCCACUACAGAAAUAACCCUAUUCACCCUUCAUUCAACAAUCGACUGAUCCAAGAGUGAUACAACGCAAGUUGUAACUCUCUCUAAGAUACGAUAAACUAAGCACAACUCUUAGCAACGGAUAUCUUGGUUCUC